RNAcentral lists this ribosomal RNA (646 nucleotides) under Campylobacter coli. RNAcentral's name for it is "partial 23S ribosomal RNA". It matches the Rfam family "Bacterial large subunit ribosomal RNA", at positions 1438 to 2063 of the family's 2925-position model. Lineage: Bacteria; Pseudomonadati; Campylobacterota; Epsilonproteobacteria; Campylobacterales; Campylobacteraceae. The record is from RNAcentral.
CCAAUACCAACAUUAGUGUGCGAUGGAAGGACGCUUAGGGCUAAGGGGGCUAGCGGAUGGAAGUGCUAGUCUAAGGUCGUAGGAGGUUAUACAGGCAAAUCCGUAUAACAAUACUCCGAGAACUGAAAGGCUUUUUGAAGUCUUCGGAUGGAUAGAAGAACCCCUGAUGCCGUCGAGCCAAGAAAAGUUUCUAAGUUUAGCUAAUGUUGCCCGUACCGUAAACCGACACAGGUGGGUGGGAUGAGUAUUCUAAGGCGCGUGGAAGAACUCUCUUUAAGGAACUCUGCAAAAUAGCACCGUAUCUUCGGUAUAAGGUGUGGUUAGCUUUGUAUUAGGAUUUACUCCGAAAGCAAGGAAACUUACAACAAAGAGUCCCUCCCGACUGUUUACCAAAAACACAGCACUCUGCUAACUCGUAAGAGGAUGUAUAGGGUGUGACGCCUGCCCGGUGCUCGAAGGUUAAUUGAUGGGGUUAGCAUUAGCGAAGCUCUUGAUCGAAGCCCGAGUAAACGGCGGCCGUAACUAUAACGGUCCUAAGGUAGCGAAAUUCCUUGUCGGUUAAAUACCGACCUGCAUGAAUGGCGUAACGAGAUGGGAGCUGUCUCAAAGAGGGAUCCAGUGAAAUUGUAGUGGAGGUGAAAAUUCC